RNAcentral lists this non-coding RNA (188 nucleotides) under Gammaproteobacteria bacterium HGW-Gammaproteobacteria-7. RNAcentral's name for it is "6S RNA". It matches the Rfam family "6S / SsrS RNA". Rfam says of the family: E. coli 6S RNA was the first non coding RNA to be sequenced, but its function was unknown until recently. It consists of 184 nucleotides that fold into an extended hairpin structure with a large single-stranded internal bulge. The record is from RNAcentral. Lineage: Bacteria; Pseudomonadati; Pseudomonadota; Gammaproteobacteria.
UGUCCUCUGCCGUGUUUGACAGCUUGCGCUAACAUUUGCCUUGUCCCUUAAUUACGACCUUGGGGACAAGCCCCUACGGGCCGUGCGCAUGUCCGCCGCGAAGCGGAAAGCCUGACGCUCGUGCGGCUCUCCCCACCUGAUCCUCGGGAUCAAGGUCGUUUCGCACGCAUCGGCAUGGCGGAGGAUGC